CCCCGGUUGCUCUCUCUCUUUCGCCGCGGCCUCCAUGCAUCCGGAGAGGGAGGGCAACGACGGCGGCUUUCCCAUGUCCCCACGAGCUGGUGCUGGGCGGGGUGUAGGGGUGAGCUGGUGAUGGGCGGAUCGGAGGUGCAGGGGGCCGGCGAGGUUGGUGGAGGGCAAAUCCUGUGCACGUGGAAGGCAGGGUAAUUCGAUCGAACAAAUAGGAACUGCUGCCAUUUUUAAGCCCGAGGGCAUGGUAGUGACCAACAAGAACUCCAGCAGACGAAGGCAGUGGUCACAGAACGACGAAGUCUUCUAAACUAUUGCCUACCACUACUAGUUGAGGAAUGUUUGGGGUGCUGCCGGAUCUGACGGCAGCGGUUGCGGGCGAGCAGCAGUGCAGAUCUCGGUGAGGAGGAGAGUUUGGAUCAGGCGGAUCCUAUCGACAGUGGCGGCCAUAGGUGCAGCGGAGGCCUCCGAGUCUGGGCGGAAAAGGAUAUCCUGAGGACAAUGACAGAGGACUCUUGGAAUCCUGUGAGGUGGAAGCAGAUCUUGAAAUAUGCACCUUUGGCGUGAUCGAAAAAAGUGGAAGCAGAUCUGUCAGCUCACGUUUGAUCAGCUAGUUCUAAUUAGGCCUUGUUUAGUUCCGAAAAAAUUUCGGAACACUUUUGUUUUUAUUUGGCAAAUAUUGUCUAAUUAUGA
Sorghum bicolor (sorghum) is the source of this 690-nucleotide long non-coding RNA. RefSeq lists it as uncharacterized. NCBI's taxonomy places the organism in Eukaryota, Viridiplantae, Streptophyta, Magnoliopsida, Poales, Poaceae. The transcript has 3 exons. The record is from RefSeq and is a predicted model, not a curated record.